This is a long non-coding RNA of Ziziphus jujuba (common jujube), 569 nucleotides long. RefSeq lists it as uncharacterized. The record is from RefSeq and is a predicted model, not a curated record. NCBI's taxonomy places the organism in Eukaryota, Viridiplantae, Streptophyta, Magnoliopsida, Rosales, Rhamnaceae. The transcript is spliced from 2 exons.
CCCCGGGUCAUUUUUGUCCCAAACUGAAACGAAAGCCUAAUAUACUCUCUCGCCCGAAGGAGCUCGCCAGACAUCUGCAUCUCUCAGAAAGAGAAACACGGUCGGUGAGUUCCCUCCAUCUCUGCAUCUCUGUAUUAGUUGAGUCUUCUUCUUCCUUGUCUGUUCUUCUUCUAAUUUGUUGAAAUGAAAGCAGAUCUGACUAGAUCUGGAAAAUAACUCUAUUCUCUAGCCGAAGGACCUCGCUUGAACAUGAUGGAAAGUCAAAGGAGCCCGCCGGACAUCUGCAUCUCUUAGAGAAAUAGACACGGUCGUUUAGACUUAUCUUGUGAUUGGGAUCGGUUGGACAACGAGGCAGUGCAACUUACGAGUGGUUGAAAAACUUCGGUCUUUGACAGCCUAGAAAGCUUGGUUAGCCGAAAAGUGCAUAUUUAAAGUGGUGUCGAUCAAAUGUUUUAAUUUUCUCUUUGUUGGUUUUCCUGCUAAGUUUUUUUUCUUUGUAUUUUGUUGAAGAAAAUCUAUCUCGUGUUCCUUGGAUGUGGAAAAUAAUUCCAUUUGAUACUUUUCAUUGA